ACGCGAAGAACCUUACCUGGUCUUGACAUCCACGGAAGUUUUCAGAGAUGAGAAUGUGCCUUCGGGAACCGUGAGACAGGUGCUGCAUGGCUGUCGUCAGCUCGUGUUGUGAAAUGUUGGGUUAAGUCCCGCAACGAGCGCAACCCUUAUCCUUUGUUGCCAGCGGUCCGGCCGGGAACUCAGAGGAGACUGCCAGUGAUAAACUGGAGGAAGGUGGGGAUGACGUCAAGUCAUCAUGGCCCUUACGACCAGGGCUACACACGUGCUACAAUGGCGCAUACAAAGAGAAGCGACCUCGCGAGAGCAAGCGGACCUCAUAAAGUGCGUCGUAGUCCGGAUUGGAGUCUGCAACUCGACUCCAUGAAGUUGGAAUCGCUAGUAAUCGUGGAUCAGAAUGCCACGGUGAAUACGUUCCCGGGUCUUGUACACACCG
This 433-nucleotide ribosomal RNA is filed under the name uncultured bacterium. RNAcentral's name for it is "bacterial SSU rRNA". It matches the Rfam family "Bacterial small subunit ribosomal RNA", at positions 959 to 1392 of the family's 1533-position model. The record is from RNAcentral.